CCUACGGGAGGCAGCAGUGAGGAAUAUUGGUCAAUGGCCGGAAGGCUGAACCAGCCAAGCCGCGUGAAGGACGAAGGUGCCAAGCAUUGUAAACUUCUUUUGUCAAGGGACAAAAUCAGGCUCGAGAGCCUGACCGAGGGUACUUGAAGAAAAAGCAUCGGCUAACUCCGUGCCAGCAGCCGCGGUAAUACGGAGGAUGCGAGCGUUAUCCGGAUUGAUUGGGUUUAAAGGGUGCGUAGGCGGACUGUUAAGUCAGCGGUAAAAGCCCGGGGCUCAACCCCGGCGAGCCGUUGAAACUGGGUGUCUUGAGAUGUCGAGAGGUAUGCGGAAUGCGCAGUGUAGCGGUGAAAUGCUUAGAUAUUGCGCAGAACUCCGAUUGCGAAGGCAGCAUACCGGCGGCGAUCUGACGCUGAGGCACGAAAGCGUGGGUAUCGAACAGGAUUAGAUACCCUUGUAGUC
RNAcentral lists this ribosomal RNA (459 nucleotides) under uncultured bacterium. RNAcentral's name for it is "partial 16S ribosomal RNA". It matches the Rfam family "Bacterial small subunit ribosomal RNA", at positions 338 to 795 of the family's 1533-position model. The record is from RNAcentral.